Molecule: long non-coding RNA, 793 nt
Organism: Bubalus bubalis (water buffalo)
Lineage: Eukaryota; Metazoa; Chordata; Mammalia; Artiodactyla; Bovidae
Exons: 2
Source: RefSeq, a predicted model, not a curated record
CAAGCAAACAACCCUGUGGGCACCACAGAGCUGCACAAACAUUUGUCCCCACAGCCGACUGGCUUCCUCAGGCCAGUGCGCCUAAUGAGCUGGCUGUUACCCGUAAAUCAAGUCAAGCAUACACAGUUCGGGCUUUCAUCAGACGGGCUUGUCGUUAGUGGGAGGAAGCGUGCUGGGUUGCCAAGUACCAAGAGCGGACUGAUGUGACUUGUGAGCCAAGGAAAAGAAACACACACACACACACACACACACACACCCUCCCAAAGAGCCCAGCUGGAGGCAUGAGGAAAACAGAAGGCGUGAAAGGCUCACAUCCCAUCCUGUCACCCACGGAUGUGCCAUCACCAGGCAGUCAGCAGAGAUGUGGCACGUGUGGCUUCAGUGGGAUCUGUCAUGAGGACCUCCAGCAGUGCUGUGGACAGCUUGAUCACCAGCUUGUGGGGCCUCCUCCAGGGCCUUCCCAUCCAUUCCAUGCUGAAGCUCUCAGAGGCUCCUCUGCCUGUUUUAUGGCUUUUCUGUACUCCUCCUGUAGUUACACUCUAGAAGAUUAACUUCCAAUCAGAAAACAAAACAGAAACAGCAUAUGAUGAUUUCUUCCACUUUUGUUUUCUUUACCCAUCUAGGGCAAACUGUUUUUUCAUUCUGGUUUAGAAUCUUUCUCUACCUAGGACUUAGCAAGUGCUUGGCAAAUUUUAUAUUGCUUUUUUCAAAAUGCUUUUAUUCAUUUUAUUCAUUCAUUACUAAUAAUAACAUUCAGUAAAUAUUUACCCAGUACCCAAGAUACAUCAGACAC